AGGUGCAUAGCUCAGUGGUAGAGCACAUGACUUGCAAGCAUGAGGUCCUGGGUUCAAUUCCCAAUACCUCCA
This 72-nucleotide transfer RNA is filed under the name Camelus bactrianus (Bactrian camel). It matches the Rfam family "tRNA". From Rfam's summary of the family: Transfer RNA (tRNA) molecules are approximately 80 nucleotides in length. The record is from Rfam by way of RNAcentral. RNAcentral also lists the same sequence under 1 other name. Lineage: Eukaryota; Metazoa; Chordata; Mammalia; Artiodactyla; Camelidae.